This is a long non-coding RNA of Paramisgurnus dabryanus, 1425 nucleotides long. RefSeq lists it as uncharacterized. The record is from RefSeq and is a predicted model, not a curated record. Lineage: Eukaryota; Metazoa; Chordata; Actinopteri; Cypriniformes; Cobitidae.
AUUCAAGAUGGCGGAUCGGUCUCGUUUCAUGCGGUGCUAUAAGACGAUGGACUGGAAGUGCAGGGUGUGCAGAAUAUUCUCAUUCCCAAGUCCACCUCCUCAGACACUACAGAGUGAAACAAAGACACUGCUCUAAAAAAAUCCACUACCUUCUUAAUGGUUCUGAAGUUCAGAUUGAGGAUGCUCCAGUGGCCCUACCUACUGUUGUCCAUGACAACACUACUGCUCCAAUGCAUUACGACAAAGCAAAUAUGUCAGUUGUUCUGGACAAAUCAAGGUUGGCCUGCCAACCUUAAAGAGAGGGUUGAUGUAAAGCGUAAUUCUCACUACAGUAGCACACACUAACAAUGUUACUCUGCUUAAAGCUCCCAUUCUUUCUGUGUUUUUGAAGCUUUGAUUGUGUUUAUAGUGGGCAAUAUAACAUGUGUUCAUGUUUAACAUGUAAAAAAAAUGCGGUAUUUUUCACACAAUUGACUUAUCUGUAUAGCGUUGUUUUCACUGUCCUCAAAACAGGCUGAUGUCUUCUUUGUUCUAUGAAGUCCCUCCUUCAGAAAUAUGUAUUGAGUUCUGAUUGUGUAGUUUGUUUAGUGUGUUCUGAUUCGAUAGCAGCUUAGCUUAGCAGAGCCGUUUGAGCCAAAGCUGGUGACUGACGUAUUCAUGUGGGUGGAGUUUAGUCAAAAAACUGUUUUACUGACGUCAUUAAAGCAGGAAGUAGAGGGCUGUAGUUCAAACCGGCCGUUCAUUGUAGGCUUUGAAAGAGGAAUUCUAUUAAAGAAGAUAUAUCGCCUGGCAGUGAACUUUGAGCUUUAUCAUUUUACAGGUAUUAUUUAUGCUAUUAUAGCAACAUUACGCACUAACUAGGGUUUCAAAAAUGGGAUCAGGAAGAACGUGACCUUUAAUAAUUUGUUACAUAGGCUGCUUUUUAUUUUUUGCAAACCUGAUAUUUUUGCCAUGCAGUUGUUAAAGUAAUUGAAAUACCUCAAAUCUUUUUGUUUUGCUGUACAUUGUUGUUUUUUAGGCUUUCCUUGUUCAUUCAACAGUACAUUACUCAUUGAAGAUCUUAAAACUUGUGGUCUUUUUAAGGUUACUUUACUGAUGUUAUUUUGAUUUGUUUGUUAAAUCAGUGUAAACUCAGAAGACACAAGUUAUUGCUUAAAAACACAUGUUCUUAUUGGCUUCUAGGCAUGUCUUGUUCAUUCCAGAAUGUAUUGAACAUUGUAAAACAGUUUCUUGAAUUUUGCCCCUCUUUAAAGGGUUUCUGUACUGACGUAGAGUCAGUUUGCUAGUUUGCACCCUUUAAAAGCAUUACUGUACUUAUGUAGAAUCUAAACAGACUUUACUUUUUUAGAUUGUAUCACAUUUGUAAUUUUAGUGAAGAUAUGUUUAUAUAAACUGUAUUAUGUUUUAAUGUACUGUAAAUGUAAA